RNAcentral lists this ribosomal RNA (425 nucleotides) under uncultured bacterium. RNAcentral describes it as "bacterial SSU rRNA". It matches the Rfam family "Bacterial small subunit ribosomal RNA", at positions 356 to 773 of the family's 1533-position model. The record is from RNAcentral.
GGGGAAUUUUGGACAAUGGGGGCAACCCUGAUCCAGCCAUGCCGCGUGCGGGAAGAAGGCCUUCGGGUUGUAAACCGCUUUUAGCCGGGAAGAAAAGGCGCGGGCUAAUACCUCGUGUUUUUGACGGUACCGGGGGAGGAAGCAACGGCUAACUCUGUGCCAGCAGCCGCGGUAAUACAGAGGGUGCGAGCGUUGUCCGGAAUCACUGGGCGUAAAGGGCGCGUAGGUGGCGGCGUCAGCGUGCGGUGAAAGCUCGGGGCUCAACCUCGAGUCGGCCGUGCGAACUGCGUCGCUCGAGCAGAGUAGAGGCAGGUGGAAUUCCGGGUGUAGCGGUGGAAUGCGUAGAGAUCCGGAAGAACACCGGUGGCGAAGGCGGCCUGCUGGGCUCUGGCUGACACUGAGGCGCGACAGCGUGGGGAGCAAAC